ACGGGUGAGUAACGCGUGGGAAUCUACCGUACCCUACGGAAUAGCUCUGGGAAACUGGAAGUAAUACCGUAUACGCCCGUAAGGGGAAAGAUUUAUCGGGGUAUGAUGAGCCCGCGUUGGAUUAGCUAGUUGGUGGGGUAAAGGCCUACCAAGGCGACGAUCCAUAGCUGGUCUGAGAGGAUGAUCAGCCACAUUGGGACUGAGACACGGCCCAAACUCCUACGGGAGGCAGCAGUGGGGAAUAUUGGACAAUGGGGGCAACCCUGAUCCAGCCAUGCCGCGUGAGUGAUGAAGGUCUUAGGAUUGUAAAGCUCUUUCAACGGUGAAGAUAAUGACGGUAACCGUAGAAGAAGCCCCGGCUAACUUCGUGCCAGCAGCCGCGGUAAUACGAAGGGGGCUAGCGUUGUUCGGAAUUACUGGGCGUAAAGCGCACGUAGGCGGGUAUUUAAGUCAGGGGUGAAAUCCCGCAGCUCAACUGCGGAACUGCCUUUGAUACUGGGUAUCUUGAGUAUGGAAGAGGUAAGUGGAAUUGCGAGUGUAGAGGUGAAAUUCGUAGA
Molecule: ribosomal RNA, 557 nt
Filed under: uncultured bacterium
Lineage: Bacteria
Description: bacterial SSU rRNA
Rfam family: Bacterial small subunit ribosomal RNA
Source: RNAcentral